This 432-nucleotide ribosomal RNA is filed under the name uncultured bacterium. RNAcentral describes it as "partial 16S ribosomal RNA". It matches the Rfam family "Bacterial small subunit ribosomal RNA", at positions 29 to 506 of the family's 1533-position model. The record is from RNAcentral.
AACGAACGCUGGCGGCAUGCCUAACACAUGCAAGUCGAACGAGACCUUCGGGUCUAGUGGCGCACGGGUGCGUAACGCGUGGGAACCUGCCCUUAGGUUCGGAAUAACUCCCCGAAAGGGGUGCUAAUACCGGAUAAUGUCUUCGGACCAAAGAUUUAUCGCCUUUGGAUGGGCCCGCGUUGGAUUAGCUAGUUGGUAGGGUAAAAGCCUACCAAGGCGACGAUCCAUAGCUGGUCUGAGAGGAUGAUCAGCCACACUGGGACUGAGACACGGCCCAGACUCCUACGGGAGGCAGCAGUGGGGAAUAUUGGGCAAUGGGCGAAAGCCUGAUCCAGCAAUGCCGCGUGAGUGAUGAAGGCCUUAGGGUUGUAAAGCUCUUUUACCCGGGAUGAUAAUGACAGAACCGGGAGAAGAAGCUCCGGCUAACUCCGU